ACCACCGAUUUGGUCGAGUGCGCUGAGAUGUCGAUUCACGCGUGCUCACGUUUUUCGAGUGGCGGUUCGAGUGCCGCCGAGGUUGUGUCGAGA
This is a non-coding RNA of Drosophila melanogaster (fruit fly), 93 nucleotides long. NCBI's taxonomy places the organism in Eukaryota, Metazoa, Arthropoda, Insecta, Diptera, Drosophilidae. The record is from Ensembl.